GACCGGAGUGGACGCAUCACUGGUGUUCGGGUUGUCAUGCCAAUGGCACUGCCCGGUAGCUAAAUGCGGAAGAGAUAAGUGCUGAAAGCAUCUAAGCACGAAACUUGCCCCGAGAUGAGUUCUCCCUGACUCCUUGAGAGUCCUGAAGGAACGUUGAAGACGACGACGUUGAUAGGCCGGGUGUGUAAGCGCAGCGAUGCGUUGAGCUAACCGGUACUAAUGAACCGU
Molecule: ribosomal RNA, 228 nt
Filed under: Escherichia coli
Lineage: Bacteria; Pseudomonadati; Pseudomonadota; Gammaproteobacteria; Enterobacterales; Enterobacteriaceae
Description: partial 23S ribosomal RNA
Rfam family: Bacterial large subunit ribosomal RNA
Source: RNAcentral